AUUGCCCUUAGCUAACGGCGAGUGAGCGGCAAAAGCUCAAAUUUGAAAUCUGGCACCUUCGGUGUCCGAGUUGUAAUUUGAAGAAGGUAACUUUUCCUCCGGUUCUUGAUAAUGUUCCUUGGAACAGGACGUCACAGAGGGUGAGAAUCCCGUGCGAUGAGAUGCCCAAUUCUAUGUAAAGUGCUUUCGAAGAGUCGAGUUGUUUGGGAGUGCAGCUCUAAGUGGGUGGUAAAUUCCAUCUAAAGCUAAAUAUUGGCGAGAGACCGAUAGCGAACAAGUACAGUGAUGGAAAGAUGAAAAGAACUUUGAAAAGAGAGUGAAAAAGUACGUGAAAUUGUUGAAAGGGAAGGGCUUGAGAUCAGACUUGGUAUUUUGCGAUCCUUUCCUUCUUGGUUGGGUUCCUCGCAGCUUACUGGGCCAGCAUCGGUUUGGAUGGCAGGAUAAUGACUAAGGAAUGUGGCUCUACUUCGGUGGAGUGUUAUAGUCUCGGUUCAUUUAGAGGAAGUAAGCCGUCUUGAAACACGGACCA
RNAcentral lists this ribosomal RNA (529 nucleotides) under uncultured Debaryomyces. RNAcentral describes it as "eukaryotic LSU rRNA". It matches the Rfam family "Eukaryotic large subunit ribosomal RNA", at positions 73 to 668 of the family's 3401-position model. The record is from RNAcentral. Lineage: Eukaryota; Fungi; Ascomycota; Saccharomycetes; Saccharomycetales; Saccharomycetaceae.